Long non-coding RNA from Phyllostomus discolor (pale spear-nosed bat), 3955 nucleotides. RefSeq lists it as uncharacterized. The transcript is spliced from 2 exons. Lineage: Eukaryota; Metazoa; Chordata; Mammalia; Chiroptera; Phyllostomidae. The record is from RefSeq and is a predicted model, not a curated record.
UUCUAUGAAUUUGAAAACGUUAGAUACCUCAUAUAAGUAUUUGUCUUUUGUGACUAACUUUUUUCUAUUUAGCACACUGUCCUCAAGGCUCAUCUAUGUUGUGGCAUAUGUCAGAAUAUAUCUGAAUAGCCUUCUUUUUAAAGGCAGAAUAAUAUUACAUGAUAUGACUAUGCCACAUCUUGUUUAUCUAUUAAAUAGACACUUGAAUUGCUUCCACCUUUUAACUUUCUGGACUAUUUUUGCUACAAGGAAUAUUUUUGUGAUUUGAGGACAACAUAUAUUUACAAGAAAAAUAAACAGAAUAUGUCACUUAAUGGUAUUUGUGUAUUUAUUCUAAGUGGCUAUACAGUCUUGGAAGAAAAUUCUGGUACAUUGUGUUAGACGUUGUAACCCUCUGAUCACUUGUCUUACCCUCCUUCUACAGUCUUCAGUUCUUCUUGGAUUAUUGUCUAAUUGAAUAUGAGUCACAUGGCUACUUUGGGACAAUUUAUCUGAGAACACAGUAAAGUGUUAGAUGGCACCAUCAAAUAUAUCCACUUAUCAGAGGUACUAUUUCUUUCUAGUUGAGAUUUUAUGUCACAGCACAUGUUUGCAAAGUAUCAUGUGAUCAGUUGAAUCAAGCAAACAUUUUAAAAGUUCUCUGAGAAUGUAUUCUGUAAUCAGUACAGUGCCCUUCAUAGGACAGUGAAAUCUCCAGAUCUAACAUGUCAUAAGGAAAGAGUCUUGGGGACUCUUGGGGAAAGGGAGGGGAAGAGUGGAAAAGGGGGAGAGUGUCUUCUCAAUAGCUUUUAGUGAAUUUGGAAAAUUGUCUCCAGGACUAGAAAAAAUGAAAAAGCAGCAUUUAGACACAUGGCUGCGAGUCCCUAAUCUACUCUUCAGUUAUGUCUAAAGUUCAGUAAACAAUACUUUGGUGCUUUAAAGCAUUUUCAGCGAGCAUUCUUGAUCAUUGCCAACAGGAGCCAAUAAAAAUCUAUCAUAUCAAAAGAAUGGCAGCCAGUACCCGGGCAUUCCUGGUUAAACAACCAAGAAAACUUGCUCCAAAUUUCCAGGAGGGAAUUCAACCCCAGCUUUUGUAGUUCACCACAGACCUUGGACAUGUUCGAUAUUGUGACUGUCAGUAACCUAGAUUUUAAAGGCACUUAUUCCUAAGGAAUAAGUAAACAAAAUUCACAGCAGGGCUCUGUGUCUUAUUGCACGCUGGGGAUGUGUCGUAUUUCACAACUCAGCAGCCUUGACAUCUCUGGCUGUUUCAUCUUUUCUCUGGCUGAUUUUGCCUCCUUUUUCUUAACUGCAGUUGGUGCCCUGUAUUCACAUGUUACUAUUAUAAUCUUGACAUCCGAGCUUCUCCUGUAGCUGUGCUUUAAGUACUUUGUCUGGGAGUUUAGUUUCCUGUUCACUUGACUUCCCUUCUUUGUGUAGCCUGAUCCUUACUACGACCUGCUUUUCAAUCAACUUGCUCGUUCCAAUCUAAGUAGUGUUGCCAGCCUUCUGAGUGGGCCUGCACAAGAUCAUAAGUGGACCUGGUGCCUCCACGGGCUCUUUCCAAUGCUAAAAAGCUGAAGAGCAGGGAGCUAAAGAGCAGGGAACCCAGGCAUUACUAAAGGCUGCUCCCAAUGGUAGGCAUUCUCAAACUUAAGAUCGUAACAGAAUCACCUGAAGGCACCCUGAAAGAAAUUGUUGCCAGGUGUUACUCCCAAAACUUCUGAUUGAGCAGGUCUGGGCUGGGCUCAGAAGAUCUGAAUUUCUAACAAAUUUCCAGGUGAUGCUGACGCGGCUGGUCUGGGGACCACUCUUGGAGAAUUAAUGCUCAAGGGUAAAAAUAGUAAUAAUGGAAAAGAAUCACAUCUUAUAUUAUUGGUCACUUAUAUACAAGAUGCUAUUCUAAGUCCUUUAGUCACUUUGUGUUUACAAUAAUUUUUGCUUUUUCUAUUUUAAAAGAGUAAACUGAGUCACAGAGAAGUGAACUAUGUUUUCUCAAAGUCACCCUGUAGGUGCUGGUGCUGGGCGGUGAAUCUUGGUAGUCAGGUUCAGAGCCCAUGGUUUUAAAUGAACCUCUAUAAUAUCAAGUAAUGUGUCUGAUAGUUUGAAAUAAGUAUAUUUUUCAUAUACUCAUGUAUGAACCUAUUAAAAAUUUUGAGGUGGUUAAAAAUAAUCAUUAUUGUUAAUAAUAAUUUUAUUGGUAACUUUUCCACCAAUUUUAUUCAUUUUUUUAUAUACUAUCCCCCAUUGUGGACCAGAAUAAUGAAGAAUGAAGGACUAUCAUAAAGUUUUAAUGGAAAAUUUUAAAGACAAUUUACCUCUUAAAAUGAAGAGCAUUCUUGCAUAUUUUUUCUUUUUCUACCUCCUCUUCUUUUGAAUUUUUUGAAUGCCCCUUCAAUCUUCAGUCAGAGUAGUAUUUCAUGUUCUUCUAUCACCUGUGAAAAUGUGGCUUGUACUUUCUUGUCUCCAGAGAAUGAUCCUUUGCCUGUCUGUCUGUCCUCUCUCCUUCACUGAUAGUAUUAAAUUAACUGGGCUUUCCAAGAGCUGAAAAUGGAAAACAUUAUUAAUUUGAGGAUUGCUGCUUCAAUGACAGUAAAUUGUGACACAUUAUCUCUUCUUGAGUCUCCAUGCCUGUGACCAUGGUCCUUUAGAGCAAACAAAGUCUUAAAACCAAUAAUAUUGCAUUUCAUCAAAACUAAGAUGCCACUGAUUUAGGAAGGACCAUUAUUUCACUGUAUGUGCAGGCAUAACUUGUUUUAUUGUACUUUAUUGCGCUUCACAGAUGUUGCUUUUUUUUUUUUUCAAAUUAAGGGUAAGACUCUCCAGCAGCAAAAAGAGUUUAACUUGUUUCAUUGUGUUGGUCUAGAACAGAACCUGCAAUAUCUUUGAGAACAAGAAAUGCCUCACUGGAAGCAGCUGUGUGAACCUGGGCUACUCAUUCAAUGUCUUGGGGCAUCUGGGUCUCAAAACUAGAGCACACAUGCCCGGGGUCUGUGCCAGAGUGAUCCACUGGGAGCUGGAAGAAAUGUUAGGACCUUUACUUGCAUUUUUUUCCAUCUGAAAUAUGAAGAAAAAUAUUAAGCUUUACUAACAUUUGACAUUUGAAUCAAGAGGAUACAAAUAUAUCAUUUGUAAAUGUACAAAUUUUGGAAGUGCAUGCUAAAAAAUGUAAUACUGUUAAUGUCUUACGAUUUUAAAAAGUGUGGAUCUACACCUUUUGAAGAUUAGGGUAGAUUGGUAUUUUUUCAAAUUACUGGUUGCAACUUAUUGGUUGGUCACACAAUCAAUUUAGUAGAUUUUUAAAGAGUGAAAUAAAAGAGCAGAGUGCACUGGUCGCAGUAAGAAUUAGGUAUUGCUCUGUGAAGCUUGUCAGAUGAAUGUGUGUGAAUACUGGGUGCUGAUGUGAAAUCUGCCUCCUGUUGUGGCUUGUGGUUUGAAAAAAAAUGAAAACGACUGGACUAGAGAGGCAGUUCUCCAAGUGUCUCUCUCAGAUGAGCAGCGGCGGCAGAUGGGAAUUUAUUAGAAAGGCAAAUUCUUCCAUUUCACCCCAGAUUUGCAGUAUCAAACAAAAGUGGGGUGCAGCCCAGCGAUUAUGGCUCAACAAACACUCCCAGUAGCUCUGAUUGAUGAGUGCUAGAGCUUAAAGCCACUGGCCUAGAACAUCGCUAGGAUUCAUCUGGUUACAAAGUUUAAGAAUUUGUCAAACUAUUCCUUUAAAGCAAUGUUUUUCAAAUUUACCUGAUCAUAAGAAUUACCUGGGUGAUUUAAAAGUACCUCGGAAAAAUAGAGAUGGACUCAUAGAUAGAAAGCAGGAUGACAGCUAUGGGGUGGGGGAAGUUAUCGAGUGGAGGGAUCGAACCAAAAGGAGAAAAGAUUCGUGGACAUGGACAAGUGUGCUUCUUGCAGGGGAGCAGGGGCUAUAAGGGGGGUAGAUGGUAAUGGAAAAAAUACAAUAAAAAACUAAAAAAUAAAUAAG